RNAcentral lists this ribosomal RNA (253 nucleotides) under uncultured bacterium. RNAcentral describes it as "partial 16S ribosomal RNA". It matches the Rfam family "Bacterial small subunit ribosomal RNA", at positions 524 to 776 of the family's 1533-position model. The record is from RNAcentral.
GACAGAGGGUGCAAACGUUGUUCGGAAUUAUUGGGCGUAAAGCGCACGUAGGCGGCUAUCUAAGUCGGAUGUGAAAUCCCUCGGCUUAACCAAGGAAGUGCACCCGAAACUGGAUAGCUUGAGUACAGAAGAGGAUCGCGGAAUUCCCGGUGUAGAGGUGAAAUUCGUAGAUAUCGGGAGGAACACCAGUGGCGAAGGCGGCGAUCUGGGCUGAUACUGACGCUGAGGUGCGAAAACGUGGGGAGCAAACAGG